Molecule: long non-coding RNA, 2075 nt
Organism: Ruditapes philippinarum (Manila clam)
Lineage: Eukaryota; Metazoa; Mollusca; Bivalvia; Venerida; Veneridae
Exons: 2
Source: RefSeq, a predicted model, not a curated record
GUCAACUUAUCUAAGCCAAGCACACCCCAUUGUCUGCUUAUCUGAACUCUGUUCUUUGAAUUGAAUAUACAUCAAAUAUCUGAUAUUGGUUGAGACAGUAUUGUUCCAGUUACUACAGCAUUCCUUUGGACCACAUUAAAUAUGCAUUUGUUAAUUGUUAUAAUGUAAAUAUUAACCUCAUUUCAGGUCAUAUCUUGGAUAAAAAUGCUUACCUUCAACAACUAGAUAUACUGGUCACAGUUAAAUUAAAUAUUGUUGUCAAGAAGAUUUUCCCUAUUCAUCGUAGAGGAGCAAUGGAACAUGUGCUUAAACUUUGCAUAAGUUUUGUUGAAACUUUCAUUUGAUAUACUGAAGAUGGUUGUUGAAUAUUGUUUGGUAACAAUAUCUAUAUGGCUAUAUGGCUGUAAAGAGAGAUGUUGAAAGGUGCAAUUUUAGUGCAAAAAUGUGCAUGUUUAACAACAUGUUGAAUGAACAAACAUUAUAAUGCAGUAAAACACUAGGAAUCAUUAUGUUUUCAAAACUUUAUAACAACUUAGUAAAUGUGUCGGAAUGUCCAUAUAUCCAUCCACCAAGAGGAGGUAUCUACAUGUUAGUGAAACUUAAUACAUUAUAGAUGGAUAAAUCUCAUUGGGGAGAAAUGAUGUGUUGAAUUUUAAUAUGCCCGAAACAAUUUCGGGCAUAUUAUGUUAUACCCCCUGGCAUCUGUUCCUCCGUACGAACCCAGAGGUACUUGUGUGACUGGGUAUCAGUAUAUAAAUAACACAUGGGUUUGUUAGUAACAGUAAAAAUAUCAUCCCGAAGAAAAUACUGUUACCCAAGGAUGAUUGUCCAUAUUAUUAUUAGGUAGAAGACACCUAUUGAUUUUGAGGUCACAAGAUCAAAGGUCAAGAACUGAAAACAGUUUCCGGAGCAUAACUUAAGUUCCAUUUGGCACACAGUGUUCAAACUUCAUAGUAUGAUUGUCCAUAUUGGGUAGAAGACCCCUAUUGAUUUUGGGGUCACAAGGUCAAGGUCAUUAUUGCCUUAAAACUGAAAACAGUUUCCGGAGCAUAACUUAAGUUCCAUUUGGCCCACAGUGUUCAAACUUCAUAGGAUGAUUGUCUAUAUUGGGUAGAAAAUCCCUAUUGAUUUUGGGGUCACAAGGUCAAAGGUCAAGGUCAUUAUUACUUUAGAACUGAAAACAGUUUCCGGAACAUAACUUAAGUUUCAUUUGGCCCACAAUAUAAAAACUUCAUAGGAUGAUUGUCCAUAUUGGGUAGAAGACCACUAUUGAUUUUGGGAUCACAAGGUCAGAGGUCAAGGUCACUAUUACUUUAAAAGUGAAAACAGUUUCCGGAGAAUAACUUAAGUUCCAUUUGGCCCACAUUUGGCCUAGCGGUGCUCUUGUUAGUUUUCAGCUCAAUUUUUUUUAAGAAUAAAAGAGUGUGAGCUAUUGCUAUGUACAGUCAUGCCUUACUUUCUUGUUGUCAUCCUAAAACUUUAACAUUGGCAAUUAUUUCAUUACAAAAUGGAUUCAAUUUUCUUCACAACAACCCUUUUGACAAGACCUUCAAGUAGACCAGACUGAACUUGACCUUGAGUCUUAAAAUAUCUUGACCUUCCAAGUCACGGUGUCAAAUGUUUAAACUGUUAAAAUGUUAUUCUUUUUAGCUCACCUGAGCUUGCGUUUGAACAUGGGUCAUCUCAGAUGAAAAACUAGGUCACAGGAGCUAAAAAUAGAAAAAUCUUGUUAACACUCUAAUGGCUACUGUUUUCAUCCAAAUAUCCUGGACUGAAAGUUUGUUUUGAUGAUUUUUAUGUCAAAUUUGAAUAUGGGUCACCUGGGGUCAAAAACUAGGUCACACUGCUCAAAUAUGGAAAAUCCUUGUUAACACUCUAGUGGUCACAUGUUUGACUCACCUGUCAUGAAACUUGGUCAGGAUGCUUGUCUAGGUAAUUGCUCGGAUGAGUUCGAACAUGUGUCAUCUCAGAUGAAAUACUAGGUCACAGGAGUUUAAUAUAAUAUGGGUUUGAUGGGUCAGGUGAGCGAUCUAGGGUCAUUUUGGCCCUCUUGUUGGCUGUAACUUUGUAAGUAA